CCAGUUCUCUUCUUCUUCACAUAGAAACUGCUCCACUUAUUUUCUCUUUUCUCUUGCUCUUUCAGAAAAACCUAUCCUUCUCUCAUCCCUUCAUAACUUCAAGACAUGUGAUUAGGAAGGAAACAAGAAAGAGCUCUAGGACAAGAGCAAAGGGAUGAAUUAGUUAGUAUCCCUGAGCUAUCUUAAGGAGCUGAGCCAGGAGACUUUGCUUUGCUAGCUGUUUUUGCUAUGAUCCAGCUUUUUUUGACAUCUUUGUUAUGUUACUUGCAAAACUACUUUGUUGAGGGUGUAAAUAUGAGGUGGUUUGGUACUCUACUUAUGGUGUUUGUGUUAGGGGACUGCAAGUCCUUUUGUGUACUUGUAGCUUAGAAUAUUUUAAGUCUGUAAAUUACAACUUACUAAGUUGUUCUUGCUUGGUGUGA
Molecule: non-coding RNA, 422 nt
Organism: Prunus mume (Japanese apricot)
Lineage: Eukaryota; Viridiplantae; Streptophyta; Magnoliopsida; Rosales; Rosaceae
Source: RefSeq, a predicted model, not a curated record